GCAGCAGGCUUGGCCGAAUGCUUAAGCUGUCCGCUUAGUAAGCGGAAGAUCAUGGGUUCGAUUCCCAUCUGCUCCA
RNAcentral lists this transfer RNA (76 nucleotides) under Culex quinquefasciatus (southern house mosquito). Its description in RNAcentral is "tRNA-Thr". It matches the Rfam family "tRNA". Rfam says of the family: Transfer RNA (tRNA) molecules are approximately 80 nucleotides in length. The record is from RNAcentral. Lineage: Eukaryota; Metazoa; Arthropoda; Insecta; Diptera; Culicidae.